This 21-nucleotide non-coding RNA is filed under the name Caenorhabditis elegans. Lineage: Eukaryota; Metazoa; Nematoda; Chromadorea; Rhabditida; Rhabditidae. The record is from RNAcentral.
UAAGUUUACAAAAUUUCACAA